Molecule: ribosomal RNA, 492 nt
Filed under: uncultured bacterium
Lineage: Bacteria
Description: partial 16S ribosomal RNA
Rfam family: Bacterial small subunit ribosomal RNA
Source: RNAcentral
AGUGAACGCUGGCGGUAGGCCUAACACAUGCGAGUCGAACGGCAGCACAGUAAGAGCUUGCUCUUACGGGUGGCGAGUGGCAGACGGGUGAGGAAUACAUCGGAAUCUACUUUUUCGUGGGGGAUAACGUAGGGAAACUUACGCUAAUACCGCAUACGACCUACGGGUGAAAGCAGGGGAUCCUCGGACCUUGCGCGAUUGAAUGAGCCGAUGUCGGAUUAGCUAGUUGGCGGGGUAAAGGCCCACCAAGGCGACGAUCCGUAGCUGGUCUGAGAGGAUGAUCAGCCACACUGGAACUGAGACACGGUCCAGACUCCUACGGGAGGCAGCAGUGGGGAAUAUUGGACAAUGGGCGCAAGCCUGAUCCAGCCAUACCGCGUGGGUGAAGAAGGCCUUCGGGUUGUAAAGCCCUUUUGUUGGGAAAGAAAAGCAGCAGGUUAAUACCCCGCUGUUCUGACGGUACCCAAAGAAUAAGCACCGGCUAACUUCGUG